GAAGAAGCAAAAUGAUGAGUUAGACUUGCAUGAGCCAAGGUGAGUGAGGUGUGUGUGUGCAGUUGUGUGAUGGUUGGUUGUGAGAGUUGUGUGCCUUAUAAUUGGGCCAUGAUUGCUAAACUGAUAAGAUCUGAUUGCUUC
Small nucleolar RNA from Colius striatus (speckled mousebird), 141 nucleotides. It matches the Rfam family "Small nucleolar RNA ZL1". From Rfam's summary of the family: Host gene TRRAP. Predicted target U2@U47. Only GU-rich region is homologous to other known snoRNAs. Lineage: Eukaryota; Metazoa; Chordata; Aves; Coliiformes; Coliidae. The record is from Rfam.